Molecule: long non-coding RNA, 901 nt
Organism: Suricata suricatta (meerkat)
Lineage: Eukaryota; Metazoa; Chordata; Mammalia; Carnivora; Herpestidae
Exons: 5
Source: RefSeq, a predicted model, not a curated record
UCCCUGGCACAGGGACUGGCCUUCAGAGUUUUCCAUAUAAUAUCUGAAAUGGAUAUUAACUCAGAAACACCCCUUCAUGGCCAGAUAAAAACAUGCAAGACAUGAACCAUUCAUAUUAUUGUUUUAGAGAAGAGAUAUAAGUAUCCAUAGGAGUACAGGACUUGGUGUUACCCACCUUUCUUCCUCACAGUGCCUUAUGCCAAGUUGGCUGUGGAAAGCACCUGCUUAGGGAAAGGACACAGACUAACACAAAAAGAAACAUUUAUAUUUUUCUCCCUACCUGAGAUCUCCAGAAUUCAGAAAUUCUCAGUGUUGUUGGAGGAGGUCAUCUAGAGGACGUGACUGCGAUUGCCCUGUGAGCUCAACCCAGCAGUUUGAGGCUCCUCCUCCAACCCUGUCCUUGGAACAUAUGCUCCACGUGUCUUCCCUACUUCCAGAGACUGCCCCAAGUCCAUGGGCGUGAGACAGCAAUGUGGUGAUGAGAACACCUGCAUGGUGUACAUGACUGAACCCAGGCAAGGAAGCCAGAAUAUUAAUCUACCAGCCCCUGAUCUUCACUGGCCAGAGUCACUCUUGAGAUUUGGACUCCCCAGAACUCCCCAUCUAGUGAAGGCCAAGCAUGCUGUCAGAAAACAUUGAAUAAAAAACAUAGUUAUAAUUGUUCAGUGGAAGAAAGAACAUUGAAAAAAGAAAGAAAAACAGAGAAAGAAGAUCUGCAUGGAGAUAGUGCCAGAGAGCAAUAUGAGCCCAGUAAAACUGCAACUCCUUUCAACCUGACUGUUUGAAGCCCAGAGCAAAGGUAUCUCCAAAACGAGUGGGUGGCAGACACACUUGCCUUACAGCUCUUUUUCUAAAGAAAGAAAUGAAAAAAAAAAAGUCAACACGCAGGUCAGAUCUUUAU